This 599-nucleotide ribosomal RNA is filed under the name Aspergillus flavus. Its description in RNAcentral is "eukaryotic LSU rRNA". The stretch from base 215 to 368 matches the Rfam family "5.8S ribosomal RNA". The record is from RNAcentral. Lineage: Eukaryota; Fungi; Ascomycota; Eurotiomycetes; Eurotiales; Aspergillaceae.
CUUCCGUAGGUGAACCUGCGGAAGGAUCAUUACCGAGUGUAGGGUUCCUAGCGAGCCCAACCUCCCACCCGUGUUUACUGUACCUUAGUUGCUUCGGCGGGCCCGCCAUUCAUGGCCGCCGGGGGCUCUCAGCCCCGGGCCCGCGCCCGCCGGAGACACCACGAACUCUGUCUGAUCUAGUGAAGUCUGAGUUGAUUGUAUCGCAAUCAGUUAAAACUUUCAACAAUGGAUCUCUUGGUUCCGGCAUCGAUGAAGAACGCAGCGAAAUGCGAUAACUAGUGUGAAUUGCAGAAUUCCGUGAAUCAUCGAGUCUUUGAACGCACAUUGCGCCCCCUGGUAUUCCGGGGGGCAUGCCUGUCCGAGCGUCAUUGCUGCCCAUCAAGCACGGCUUGUGUGUUGGGUCGUCGUCCCCUCUCCGGGGGGGACGGGCCCCAAAGGCAGCGGCGGCACCGCGUCCGAUCCUCGAGCGUAUGGGGCUUUGUCACCCGCUCUGUAGGCCCGGCCGGCGCUUGCCGAACGCAAAUCAAUCUUUUUCCAGGUUGACCUCGGAUCAGGUAGGGAUACCCGCUGAACUUAAGCAUAUCAAUAAGCGGAGGAGA